This 6273-nucleotide long non-coding RNA is filed under the name Sus scrofa (pig). Its description in RNAcentral is "lncRNA (ENSSSCG00065007553.1)". The record is from RNAcentral. Lineage: Eukaryota; Metazoa; Chordata; Mammalia; Artiodactyla; Suidae.
GGCCCCUCCUCGGCCACACAAAGGCCCGUCUCCAUGGCAGCCGCGCGGGCCGCAGCACAGCGCCGAGCGCGGCCCGGGCGCCAUCGAGCCUCGGCGGCGGACGUGCAGGGAAUCUUGAUGUGCUCCUGGAGCAGAGGCUGAGUCGGACCGCUGUGGCCUCGGGCACCAGGGGCAAUGGCGCUGCAGCUCUGGACCCUGAUCCUCUUGGGCCUGGUGGGCACCAGUUCGAGCCUGCGGUCCCGCAAGCUGGACUUCUUCCGCAGCGAGACGGAGCUGAACCACCUGGUCGUGGAUGAGGCGUCAGGCGUGGUGUACGUGGGGGCGGUGAACACGCUCUACCAGCUGAGUGCAGAUCUGCAGCUGGAGCAGCAGGCCGCCACGGGCCCAGCCCUGGACAACAAGAAGUGUACGCCGCCCAUCGAGGCGAGCCAGUGCCACGAGGCCGUGCUGACCGACAACGUCAACCAGCUGCUGCUCCUCGACCCGCCCGGGCACCGCCUCGUUGAGUGCGGCAGCCUCUUCAAGGGCAUUUGUGCCCUGCGUGCCCUGAGCAACAUCUCCACGCGCCUCUUCUACGAGGACGGCAGCGGCGAGAAGUCCUUCGUGGCCAGCAAUGACGAGAGCGUGGCCACCGUGGGGCUGGUGAGCACCACGGGCCCUGGUGGCGAGCGCGUGCUCUUCGUGGGCAAAGGCAACGGGCCCCACGACAACGGCAUCAUCGUGAGCACCCGUCUGCUGGACCGGGCCGAGGGCAGGGAGGCCUUCGAGGCCUACACGGACCACGCCGCCUACAAGGCCGGCUACCUGUCCACCAACACGCAGCAGUUCGUGGCUGCCUUCGAGGACGGCGCCUACGUCUUCUUCGUCUUCAACCAGCAGGACAAGCACCCGGCCCAGAACCGCACGCUGCUGGCGCGCAUGUGCAAGCACGACCCCUUCUACUACUCCUACCUGGAGGUGGACCUGCGCUGCCACGACCCCAGCGACACCCAGGCUCCCCCCUUCGGCACCUGCCUGGCGGCCUCCGUGGCCGGGCCGGGCGACCACAGGGUGCUGUACGCCGUCUUCGGCAGGGAUGGCAGGGGCGGCGGGGGGCCCCACGCGGGCCUCUGCCUGUUCCCGCUGGCCGAGGUCCACGCCAAGAUGAAGGCCAACCGCAACGCCUGCUACACGGGCGCCCGGGAGGCGGGCCGCGACACCUUCUACAAGCCCUUCCAUGGCGACAUCCAGUGUGGCGGCCACGGGCCGGGUGCCAGCGAGAGCUUCCCGUGUGGCUCGGAGCACCUGCCCUACCCACUGGGCAGCCGAGACGGACUCUCAGCCACAGCUGUGCUGCAGCGCGGAGGCCUGAACCUGACGGCUGUGACGGUGACAGCCGAGAAUGGCCACACCAUCGCCUUCCUGGGGACCUCAGAUGGCCGCAUCCUCAAGGUGUACCUCGCUCCAGAUGGCAGCUCCGCGGAGUACAGCUCUGUCCUCGUGGAAAUCAACAAGAGAAUCAAGCGCGACCUGGUGCUGGCCGCAGACAAGACCAGUCUGUACGCCAUGACCCAGGACAAGGUCUUCCGGCUCCCAGUGCAGGAGUGUGUAAGCUUCCUGACCUGCGAGCAGUGUCGCAGCUCACAGGACCCGUAUUGUGGCUGGUGCGUCGUUGAGGGCCGAUGCACCAGGAGGGCUGAGUGCCCGCGGGCUGAAGAGAGUGGCCACUGGCUGUGGAGCCGAGACAAGUCCUGCGUGGCCGUCACGGGGGCCCAGCCCCAGAACAUGAGUCGCCGGGCCCAGGGGGAGGUGCAGCUCACCGUCAGUCCCCUCCCGGCCCUGAGCGAGGAGGACGAGCUGCUGUGCCUCUUCGGAGAGUCGCCGCCACACCCCGCCCGCGUGGAGGGGGACGCCGUGACCUGCAACUCCCCGAGUAGCAUUCCGAGCACACCGCCCGGCCAGGACCACGUGGCCGUGAACGUCCAGCUCCUCUUUGGACGUGGCAACGUCUUCCUGACCUCACACCUGUACCCCUUCUACGACUGCCGGGAGGCCGUGAACCUGGCGGAGAGCCUGCCGUGCAUCUCCUGCGCGAGCAACCGCUGGACCUGCCAGUGGGACCUGCGCUACCAUGAGUGUCGCGAAGCCUCGCCCAACCCUGAGGAUGGCAUCAUCCGCGCCCACAUGGAGGACAGCUGCCCCCAGUUCUUGAACCCCAGCCCGCUUGUCAUCCCCAUGAACCACGAGACAGCCGUGGCUUUCCAGGGCAAGAACCUGGACACAGUGAAGGGCUCGUCCUUGCACGUGGGCAGCGACCUGCUCAAGUUUGAGGAGCCAGUCAGCACCCAGGAGCCAGGAAGCUUCCUCUUCCGGACCCCAAAGCUGUCCCACGACGGGAACGAGACGCUGCCCCUGCACCUGUACGUCAAGUCCUACGGCAAGAACAUCGACAGCCGGCUCCAAGUGACUCUCUACAACUGCUCCUUCGGCCGCAGCGACUGCAGCCUGUGCCUGGCCGCCGACCCCGCCUACAAGUGCGUGUGGUGCAGUGGGCAGAGCAGGUGUGUGUACGAGGCCCUGUGCAGCAACGCCACCUCCGAGUGCCCGCCGCCAGUCAUCACCAGGAUCCACCCUGAGACGGGCCCCCUGGGCGGAGGCAUUCACGUCACCAUCCUUGGCUCAAACUUGGGGGUCAAAGCAGACGACGUGACGAGGGUCACCGUGGCUGGCCGGAAUUGCACCUUUGAGCCCAAACGGUACUCUGUGUCCACCCGGAUCGUGUGUGCCAUCGAGGCCGCGGAGGCGCCCUUCUCGGGGGGCGUCGAGGUGGAUGUCAACGGGAAGCUCGGCCAUUCGCCUCCCCAUGUCCAGUUCACCUACCAGCAGCCCCAGCCCCUCAGCGUGGCACCAAAGCAGGGGCCACAGGCGGGUGGCACCUUGCUGACCAUCAGCGGCACCCACCUGGACACUGGCUCUGAGGAAGACGUGCGGGUGACCCUCAAUGACGUCCCUUGUAAAGUGGUGCAGUUUGGGGCACAGCUUCAGUGUGUCACCGGCCCCCAGUCAGUUCUGGGAGAGCUGCCCCUGAAGAUUUACUACGGGGGCUCCCAAGCGCCCAGCCCCGGUGUCACCUUCACCUACCGUGAGAACCCAGUGCUACGGGCGUUCGAGCCGCUGCGAAGCUUCGUCAGCGGCGGCCGGAGCAUCAACGUCACAGGGCAGGGGUUCAGCCUGAUCCAGCGAUUCGCCAUGGUGGUCAUAGCCGAGCCCCUGCAGUCGUGGCGGCGGCGGCGGGAGGCGGGACCCCUGCAGCCCAUGACGGUCGAGGGCACGGAGUAUGUGUUCUACAACGACUCCAAGGUCGUGUUCCUGUCGCCGGCCGUCCCCGAGGAGCCCGAGGCCUACAACCUCACGGCUCUCAUCCAGAUGGACGGGCACCGCGCCCUGCUCAGGACUGAGGCCGGUGCCUUCGAGUACGUCGCCGACCCCACGUUUGAGAACUUCACGGGAGGCGUCAAGAAGCAGGUCAACAAGCUCAUCCACGCCCGGGGCACCAAUCUGAACAAGGCGAUGACGCUCCAGGAGGCCGAGGCCUUCGUGGGUGCCGAGCGCUGCAUCAUGAAGACGCUGACGGAGACUGAUCUGUACUGCGAGCCCCCGGAGGUGCAGCCCCCUCCCAAGCGGCGGCAGAAGCGGGACACCACCCACAACCUUCCUGAGUUCAUUGUGAAGUUCGGCUCCCGGGAGUGGGUGCUGGGGCGCGUGGAGUAUGACACGCGUGCGAGUGACCUGCCGCUCAGCCUCAUCCUGCCGCUGGUCAUCGUGCCCAUGGUGGCGGUCAUCGCGGUGUCUGUCUACUGCUACUGGAGGAAGAGCCAACAGGCCGAGCGUGAGUACGAGAAGAUCAAGUCCCAGCUGGAGGGCCUGGAGGAGAGCGUGCGCGACCGCUGCAAGAAGGAGUUCACGGACCUGAUGAUCGAGAUGGAGGACCAGACCAACGACGUGCACGAAGCAGGCAUCCCGGUGCUGGACUACAAGACCUACACCGACCGCGUCUUCUUCCUGCCCUCCAAGGACGGGGACAAGGACGUGAUGAUCACCGGCAAGCUGGACAUCCCAGAGUCUCGCAGGCCGGUGGUGGAGCAGGCGCUUUACCAGUUCUCCAACCUGCUCAACAGCAAGUGCUUCCUCAUCAACUUCAUCCACACCCUGGAGAACCAGCGGGAGUUCUCUGCUCGCGCCAAGGUCUAUUUUGCGUCGCUGCUGACGGUGGCGCUGCACGGGAAGCUGGAGUAUUACACAGACAUCAUGCGCACCCUCUUCCUGGAGCUCAUGGAGCAGUACGUGGUGGCCAAGAACCCCAAGCUGAUGCUGCGCAGGUCUGAGACAGUGGUGGAGAGAAUGCUGUCCAACUGGAUGUCCAUCUGCCUGUACCAGUAUCUCAAGGACAGCGCUGGCGAGCCGCUAUACAAGCUUUUCAAGGCCAUCAAGCAUCAAGUGGAGAAGGGGCCAGUGGACGCCGUGCAGAAGAAAGCCAAAUACACCCUCAAUGACACGGGGCUGCUGGGGGAUGACGUGGAGUAUGCACCCCUGACAGUGAGCGUGAUCGUCCAGGAUGAAGGGGUCGACGCCAUCCCCGUCAAGGUCCUCAACUGUGACACCAUCUCCCAGGUCAAGGAGAAGAUCAUCGACCAGGUGUACCGCACACAGCCCUGCUCCCGCUGGCCCAAGGCUGACAGCGUGGUGCUCGAGUGGCGUCCCGGGUCCACGGCCCAGAUCCUGUCAGACCUGGACCUGACCUCGCAGCGCGAGGGCCGCUGGAAGCGCUUCAACACGCUGAUGCACUACAACGUGCGGGACGGAGCCACGCUGAUCCUGUCCAAGGUGUGGGUCUCCCAGCAGCCGGAGGACAGCCAGCAGGACCUGCCUGGGGAGCGCCACGCCCUCCUGGAGGAGGAGAACCGCGUGUGGCACCUGGUGCGGCCGGCGGACGAGGUGGACGAGGGCAAGUCCAAGCGCGGCAGCGUGAAGGAGAAGGAGCGGACCAAGGCCAUCACUGAGAUCUACCUGACCCGCCUGCUCUCGGUCAAGGGCACGCUGCAGCAGUUCGUGGACAACUUCUUCCAGAGCGUGCUGGCGCCCGGGCUCGCGGUGCCCCCCGCCGUCAAGUACUUCUUCGACUUUCUGGACGAGCAGGCGGAAAAGCAUGACAUCAAGGACGAGGACACCAUCCACAUCUGGAAGACCAACAGUUUGCCGCUGCGGUUCUGGGUGAACAUCCUCAAGAAUCCCCACUUCAUCUUCGACGUGCACGUCCACGAGGUGGUGGACGCCUCCCUCUCGGUCAUCGCGCAAACCUUCAUGGACGCCUGUACGCGCACGGAGCACAAGCUGAGCCGCGACUCUCCCAGCAACAAGCUUCUCUACGCCAAGGAGAUCUCCACCUACAAGAAGAUGGUGGAGGACUACUACAAGGGGAUCAGACAGAUGGUGCAGGUCAGCGACCAGGACAUGAACACCCACCUGGCAGAGAUCUCCCGGGCACACACGGACUCCCUGAACACGCUCGUGGCGCUGCACCAGCUCUACCAGUACACGCAGAAGUACUAUGACGAGAUCAUCAACGCCCUGGAGGAGGAUCCUGCCGCCCAGAAGAUGCAGCUGGCCUUCCGGCUCCAGCAGAUUGCCGCUGCACUCGAGAACAAGGUCACGGACCUCUGACCUCCAACUCCUCUGUUCCGGUCUCAGGGCGCAGUGCGGGGCGCCCAGCAGCACCAGCUCCCUCCUGCAGAACCAGCAUCGCCUGGGGUCUCCUUCACGUCUCCCGAGUGAUUUGAAAACGUGCCUUAUACUCCCGGCGCCACGCUGGGUCUCUGGGGGCGGUCGGGCCUCAGCCCCCUCCCCGAGCACCAGCAGCCACCUCGGAUACCUGGGUUUGGCCCUUUUGGGUGGGAUCUGAGUGCCUGCAGCCCCCGGGACCUAGCGCCCAGACUGCCUUGCCGGGCUGGGGGUAGAAAACCGGUACAAUGCCUUGCUGACCUCGACGGCUUGCCCUGCGGCGCGGGCACUCCGGUGGACUCGGCGCUGGAGACCCCACCUCAAGCUGGACGUCACACGUCAAGGCCCAGGCGGCCAGAAGGGACCCAGCAGACUGGGGGUCCUGGUCUCCGCCUGUCAGACAGGCCGACCUGGAGGCCCUGCCUGGGUCUGGGGAGCCAGGAGCAGCUCCGCCAGGACCGCCCCCGACCCUUUUUGUAAAUCUUGUUCAUUGUAAAUCAAAUACAAUUGUGUUUU